This is a long non-coding RNA of Cornus florida, 273 nucleotides long. RefSeq lists it as uncharacterized. The transcript has 3 exons. The record is from RefSeq and is a predicted model, not a curated record. Lineage: Eukaryota; Viridiplantae; Streptophyta; Magnoliopsida; Cornales; Cornaceae.
UCUCUCUCUCUAAGAACCUUAGGGUUUCUUGUUUUUUUUCUCUCUCUAAGAACAUUUUAGGGUUUCUUAAUUUGUUUUGUGGCUUGAUCACUGUUCGAGCUACACUCGACAGCUCACAAGUUUUGAAGUCUGCAAAAUGUGAGAUUCACAUACAGUUACAGAUUAAGAGAGAGAUUGGCACAUUGAAGCUCCUCAAACAUCCAAACGUCAUCAGAUCUUCAGACUCUAUCAUUCAAACCGUUGGUCGCCCCCUUGAAACGCCACCGUGGAAGA